Molecule: transfer RNA, 41 nt
Filed under: Ophiopogon bodinieri
Lineage: Eukaryota; Viridiplantae; Streptophyta; Magnoliopsida; Asparagales; Asparagaceae
Also listed under: 5 other names
Description: partial tRNA-His
Source: RNAcentral
GGCGGAUGUAGCCAAGUGGAUCAAGGCAGUGGAUUUGUGAU